This 595-nucleotide ribosomal RNA is filed under the name uncultured archaeon. Its description in RNAcentral is "bacterial SSU rRNA". It matches the Rfam family "Archaeal small subunit ribosomal RNA", at positions 229 to 824 of the family's 1478-position model. The record is from RNAcentral.
GUAGUAGUGGGUGUAGCGUACCUACUAGCCUACGACGGGUACGGGUUGUGAGAGCAAGAGCCCGGAGAUGGAUUCUGAGACACGAAUCCAGGCCCUACGGGGUGCAGCAGGCGCGAAAACUUUACAAUGCUGGCAACAGCGAUAAGGGAACCUCGAGUGCCAGGUUACAAAUCUGGCUGUCGAGAUGCCUAAAAAGCAUUUCAUAGCAAGGGCCGGGCAAGACCGGUGCCAGCCGCCGCGGUAACACCGGCGGCUCGAGUGGUAACCGUUAUUAUUGGGUCUAAAGGGUCUGUAGCCGGCCGGAUAAGUCUCUUGAGAAAUCUGGCAGCUUAACUGUCAGGCUUUCAGGAGAUACUGUCUGGCUCGAGGCCGGGAGAGGUGAGAGGUACUUCAGGGGUAGGGGUGAAAUCUUGUAAUCCUUGAAGGACCACCAGUGGCGAAGGCGUCUCACCAGAACGGACCUGACGGCAAGGGACGAAAGCUAGAGGCACGAACCGGAUUAGAUACCCGGGUAGUCCUAGCCGUAAACGAUACUCGCUAGGUGUCGGCCACGGUGCGACCGUUGUCGGUGCCGUAGGGAAGCCGUGAAGCGAGC